GUCUUUCAUUCCUCUCCUCGGCGCCUCAGCAAUUCAAUCCUUAAUCAAAACUUCAGUUCCUCCCUUCCUUAAUCCUCCAUCAGCUUUUGACUUCAAUCGGAUUCUUCUGAGGCGAAGCGGUUAUAACCAAGGGUUUUCUGGGUUUGAAUCUUCCUCUCUUCGUGUCAUUUAAUACUACUGCUACUCUCACUCCUUCAUCACGUAGAUCUGAUAACCAGCCCCAGACAACAAAUCAUGAUGAAGUUAUUGGCUGAAAGUUUGGAUAUCUUGUAUCACAUGUCUUCGUCCUUUCCGAGCUUUGUUGCUAAGGUGGUAACUUGGUAUCUACUAGAGGUGUUAAUGGUGGAAAAGAAGCCUCAGGUUCUUGCUCUUGUACCAAAAUCCAGUAGCCACUAGCCAAGGUAAUAGAAUAGAUUUGAGUUCAAAAGAUCCGAGCUUUGUUGCCAAGGACAGCGAGUUGGUCCGGUCGAAUUGCGAAGCAAGGCUAAAAGGAGGAUGUUUAGCUUUAUCAGUGGGCUCUUUGCAAAAGUCAAAGUCAAAAGGUUAUCGACUUAGAGACUUAGAGAAAACCAUCUCAGAAGAUGCCAAGAUUGCUCUAUUGGGUUAGGUGCUCCAGUUAGAGCAAACAUGAGAACUGGUGGUGUAACAGAUGCUGCGAUUACAUCAUCCUUAUUGGAGAUUGAGCUGUGUCAAAGAUUAUAUGGAGAGAACAAGCACCAAGGCUGGGACAACAGAGGGAUUGACGUUUUUUUUUUUUUUUUUGGGGUCUUUCAAUUAUGGGGUUAAUUGUUUGUUUGUUUAUUUUUCUUAUUUUUUUUUUCAAUUUUGAGAUGGCUCCAAUGGCCUUGAUUC
This is a long non-coding RNA of Rosa chinensis, 852 nucleotides long. RefSeq lists it as uncharacterized. The transcript is spliced from 7 exons. Lineage: Eukaryota; Viridiplantae; Streptophyta; Magnoliopsida; Rosales; Rosaceae. The record is from RefSeq and is a predicted model, not a curated record.